RNAcentral lists this long non-coding RNA (208 nucleotides) under Panax ginseng (ginseng). RNAcentral describes it as "long non-coding RNA (PGIN_LNC008180)". The record is from RNAcentral. Lineage: Eukaryota; Viridiplantae; Streptophyta; Magnoliopsida; Apiales; Araliaceae.
CCCACUCAUGCACUACUGCUCUAUAGUCAGGAUGAAGCACCUGGUACAUGGAGUGGAUGCUAAACCAGUUCCCCCGAGGCUGUGUAAAACCAAGAACCUGCAUGAAAAGCAGAUCAACAUCAGAACCCUUUAAAUCCUCAUCAAUAGGAAAGAAGGAAGAUAAAGUCUAACGUCAUAACUCGUUAGCAUGCAAGUACAUCGAUGGGUG